UAGAUGCACACAAUUUUUAUUAGAAAUUAUAAGAACAUCAUUUAUUAUUCCCAAAGUUUUUUUGAUAGUAGAGUCUGGAAAAUGUAAAUUAAGGGAACACUCAUGGAUAUCAUUGAGACCAAGUGCAUCACAUAAAGAUUUAGGUAUAGUUGAGACACUAGCACCUAGGUCACACAAAGCGUUGCAUUCACAUUCUUUGAUCUUAAUUUUAAUAAUAGGUUCCCACUCAUCAUGCAACCUUCUAGGAAUAGAGACUUCUAGCUCAAGUUUCUCAUCAUAGGCUUUCACCAUAGGUUCUACUAUAUGUUUAGUAAAAGCUUUCUUUUGUUCAUUGGGUGAGCUAAUAAUGGAUUGCAGCAAGGAAAUAGAUCCUACUAAGGAGAAAAUUUCAUAAUGAAUGUCCUUGUGAUCCAAGAUAGUGGGCACAUAACUAGUUAAAGUUUUGACCUUUCCAACCCACUUUUUUCAAUUUGAUUACUAUAAUCAUCACCAUCCAAGCAAUUGGGAUGCCUUCUAGCUAAAGUGGACUCAUCUCUAGUCCCUUUAUCAUUUUAAUAGCAGAAGUACCAAUCAUUUUAAGAUCUUCAUGAUGAUUAUUAAAGGGUGAAGAUUCUCGUUUAGCAGUCACCCUAUUUACACUACACCAUGACACUACAUUCCCUACACACGUGUGUUUGGAAAAGUCAAUUUUCCCGACCGACUAUUUGUUGAUAAAUUUUUAUCAUGUUGUUGAUCGGUAUUACUCACAUGUAACAACCAACUAUCGGUGAGGAAUGCCGAAAUGUAUAGCAUAUAACCUUUGGUCGGUAAUAAUUGCACUGCUAUCACAUAGUCAGUCGGCAAAUAUUCCUGACCGGCCAUGAGUCGCCAACUGGGAUGCCAAUAUUAUCCGCGUGCGUGCCUGCGAAACUUAGAGGGAAGCCCAUCAGAAAUUGUCAUACCGUGCGCCCGCACAACCCACCUCCGCUAGAAAAACACCACACCGAUGUCUCUGUGCCUCUCUCCCUUAUCUCUUUCUCUCCGAUCUGAGCGACGACGAUGGCUAUCGCAUCCGGUGAUUUUUCCAGCUCUCCGUCCAUCUCUUCCUCCCACCAAUCUACCACCAUCCCCACAUCACUGUUGUUUUUCCAUGUGGAACCCAUACCCAACCCCUCUUCCCCUCCCAUGCUAGCAGAUUUGAGCGGGACAAGGUCCCUUCUAUCCUUAUGGUACGGAACGAGGUGGGAGGCCUCUGCUCCCUUAUCUUAUGGCGACUAGGAGGGUAUGGUUGUUGCCCCAUCUCUCUAAGCCAUCCAAGGCGGUAGCGACGUUCGUAAGCUCUCUCUCACUCUCUCUUUGUGCAGAUUUAAAUCAAAGCAAUGAACCUUCCAUAGCUCGAGUGGCUGGCGCCCCUUCUCUCUACAGAUUGAUCCUCAUAAAAAAAUCAGUGUUGCGUGGAUUCAUGGAAAUAAAGAAGUUUUUGGAGGAUUAAAGUUCAAACCCAAGCCAUCGAUUAAAUUAGGGUCUAUUUACAGUGUGCCAUUGUUAGCAGACUGAAUUGGAUAAUUUUCUUACAUGAUGAAACAGACUUUAAUAUGUUAUGUGGAUGUUUAGGCAGUUACUCAACUACUAACAAUAAUAGAAGGCUAGUGGAACAUGUCCACAGUUAUAUGCCUGCAUCAAGUCAAGUGGAUUUGGAUAGUAGCAUUGAAGAAUAUUCGAUACAGAACUCAAUAAUCAAACCUACCUACAUGUUAACAUGUGGGGGUGCUACUGAAUAGCUGUACAUGAAGCUGGAAAGAGGAAGAACUGAGGAUUGUUCAAGAAGUUGCUUCUAUUUGUGCACAAUGGCAUCGUAGCCAGGGUUCAAUCGACACAUGGUGUGUCAACAUUUGGCUAUCUACCUCAAGGGCCUGCUGAUAUGUCCACAACGUAUCCAUAAUUUUUGAUUGUUCCAUGCUGAUAUAUUAUCAUUCUAAGAUACUUUUUGGGUAUUUA
Long non-coding RNA from Hordeum vulgare subsp. vulgare (domesticated barley), 1977 nucleotides. RefSeq lists it as uncharacterized. Lineage: Eukaryota; Viridiplantae; Streptophyta; Magnoliopsida; Poales; Poaceae. The record is from RefSeq and is a predicted model, not a curated record. The transcript has 3 exons.